Long non-coding RNA from Salvia miltiorrhiza (redroot sage), 836 nucleotides. RefSeq lists it as uncharacterized. The record is from RefSeq and is a predicted model, not a curated record. The transcript has 2 exons. Lineage: Eukaryota; Viridiplantae; Streptophyta; Magnoliopsida; Lamiales; Lamiaceae.
UGUAAACGAAUCGAAUAUUUUUGCUCGAUUCGAUAUUCGAUUCGAAAUUUUGAUAUUCGUAUUCGAAAUUAUUCGAUUCGUAUUCGAUUAUAAAUAUUCGAUUCGAUUCGAUUAAUAAACGAAUCGAAUAUGAAAUUUUGAUAUUCGAUUCGAUAUUCGUAUGUAUUCGAUUCGAUUAAUAAAUAAAUAGAUAAAUAUUAUAUAUAUAUAUAUAUAUAUUGAAUAUAUAUCUAAUUUUAAAAUAUUAAAUUAGAUAUUAAAAAAAUUGAAAAUUUGAGAUACACGCCUAUUCCCUAAAUUUGAAACACACACCUAUCCCACGCCUGUAUCCCCUAUUAUUUGAAACACACGCAUUUUCCCUUUACAUUGCUUUUUCUCUCUCAUUUCAUUAACCUAAUUUCUAUUUGUUUCCGCCGCCCCGCCCCCCACACACCAGACCACUAUCGCCGCCCUCACGGCUCACACGCUGCCAGCUCCAGCCAGCCUUCUCUGCCGCCGCCGACCACACCCUACUGACGUCGUUGGAUCCUCAGGCUGCAUCGGUCCGUCUUCUCCGCUGCGGGCUGCCCGUCGCCACUCGCCAGCAACUAACGUCGCUCGUCUCCAGUCGCCAGCACCCCGCCACGGCGUCGCCUCUCCUCCAACUGUCGUCUGAGAAAUCUCCCCUUCCCUCUCCUCUGCUGCGCCGCUACUUUAUUUUUUGAGUUAUUGCAAGAACGCAGAUAUUACAUAUUGCUGAAUGUGAUUUCUGUUUAAGAAAUCUAGUGUUUUAUGAAAUCUAAUAGCUGCAUUGAUGAAUGUGAUGUAUGCUGUAGUAUACUUUUACUUUUAAUUCU